AAAAUUGUCACCUACUGCUGUGUGAUAUGCAUUUUUUACAUGGGUUUGGAAUUGUUAGGUACUAUAAUAGGUGCAUGAAGGUGGUUGUAGAAGAUGUCGCAUGGCAUCUGAGGCGUGAAUAUUUAUUUGGUUCAGUUGGCGAUGAUCAACACCUGCUUAUAUGGGAUCGAUGUCCGGACUCCAUCAGUUAGCAAGCCUGUCCCCUCUGUUAUUGCUCAUCAAAGUAAAUUACCCAACAAAAACCUCCCCUUCACUGAACCCAAUACUUCAAAAGCAAAAAAAAAAAUAAAAAAAUGAAACCUUAAUUAUAGAAACAAAUUUUCUUGCUUUUCCUUCUCUUUCCCACCAUUUUUUCUCGGCAAGCGAACAGGGGAUAAGAGAGACGAACUGAACUUGCCUCGGUUCUGACGACCCAAGAUGGCUUAGUGAAGGAGAGAUGGGACAAGGGGCUUGGAUUCCGCGGAGAAGGUGUACCGUUGGAUUUUGCGGACUCUAAUCGGACGGCUGUUGAUAAGCUCGGCGUUCCCACUGCCAUUCUAUCAAUGCCGACUCCGAAACACAACUAUGGACUGUGUGUGUUGGUUAAAUACAGCUCGAUGUUCUUGGACGGACCGCCGUAGGGGCGUUUGUACGAUUCAAAUGUCUACGCAUUUACCAUGUCACACACAAUAUGUUUGAUGAAAGGCCUCAACCAGUUCACUGGAUUCAUGCAUUCCAGUUCACAAUAUGUAUUGAAUUUUGUAUUCUAUACAUAACAUGUAAUCAAGUAGGAUUCAAAUUCUAAGAAGUAUUGGGUUUCCUCUGUUUGCUCAAACUCUGUCUGUGUUGUUCAGUUGGACUCAAUAUCUGCUGCGUGAGUUUAUCUUCAGAUGCUUCUAUCUUCAUUUGGUUCUGUAGCCGAGGAGACUUCAAUAGUAUCUUCAAUACCCCGAAAAGGAGGGCAUGAAGUAGCAAGUCGAGUUGAGGGUAUAAUCAAAUACGCUUAACUCAAAUUAGCAUCUAACACUUUCAUGGAGGGGACAACUUAUGAGACAAGUUCGAGAUACGGAAGGGGUGACCAACAAGCUAAAUUAAAAUGUCUUGCUAUUAUUGCAAUUCAAGGAAAGGAGGAGAAGAGCAGGUGGAUCAAUUAGCGACGCCAUUCUUCAGGAAAAGUUGAUGAAAAAGAGAGAAAAUGGAAGAGGAUGUUGGAUAUUGGUUUCCAUGUUGUUUUGUCAAGUCGUAAAGUUCUUUGACUAUGAUCAAGUGAUGGAAUUUGAUCUGGAGCUAUUGACUAAUAAGGUCUGAGUAACACUUGAUUAGACUAUAAUCUAGGGUUAUGUUAUGUUGUACAAAAGGUCUCGAUUACUUGUGCAUGAAUAACCAAAAAGAGAUUUGAUGUAGUAGAUUUUGUUACGUUUUAGAAUCGGCAUGCACAUAGUUUACACAUUUUUUGAAGCAUCCAUUUGAACAUAAAUUGGCAUAAAAAAAUUAUUGGUAAUCUUUUACUAGCUGGAACAAUCUUAAAUGCUACACUAGAAAAGGAAUUAUACUGUCUACCUCCUGGUGUUUCCUUUUGUGCAUCUCACUUUAUAUAAUUUCUACACCGAAGGCAGUCAAUCUUCUCUCUAACUCAUGGAUGAGAGAAACAUUCAAGCAUUUCUCAAGACGAUCUUAGCCUUAUUCUUGUUGCUAUUACCCUUUUGAUCUCUCUUGCUCCACCAAAUUUAAUGUCCGGAGAUUCUUUCAUUCUUCGAAGUUAGAACUAAUCAUGUCUCUUUGCUAAGUUGUUGAAACUUUGAGAUCUUGAGGAGUACUCCUGUACGAGUUUAGAGAAGAAAGAAUCCGGCCGUUUCAGUAGCUUUCCUGGAGUGUCAUAUUCUGCAAUUCUUCCUGUUUAAGCAGAAGUCCUUUAGAGACUCGUUCAAUAUUUUCAUGAUAUAUACUUUAGAGUGUAUGUCAUUAUAUACGUUCAUGAAUUAUACUUGCCUUCACUGAGGACCAACACGAGAUCGCUAUCUAUAACUGUGUGGAUUCUGUGAGCUAUAGUGACAACUGUCCGAUCUUUGAACUCUUGACUAAUGAUUUUUUGUAUCACUCCAUCAGUUGCAGAAUCAACUGAUGCUGUUGCUUCAUCCAGUACGAGAAUGCUACUCUUCUUCAGCAAGG
This is a long non-coding RNA of Alnus glutinosa, 2148 nucleotides long. RefSeq lists it as uncharacterized. Lineage: Eukaryota; Viridiplantae; Streptophyta; Magnoliopsida; Fagales; Betulaceae. The record is from RefSeq and is a predicted model, not a curated record. The transcript has 3 exons.